Molecule: long non-coding RNA, 316 nt
Filed under: Eucalyptus grandis
Lineage: Eukaryota; Viridiplantae; Streptophyta; Magnoliopsida; Myrtales; Myrtaceae
Description: long non-coding RNA (EGRA_LNC001799)
Source: RNAcentral
CUAUAGACAAGAUAGCCAUGGAGGAGUUCAUUACUCAGGCAAGCCACAUAGGAAUUCAGGGACUUGAAGAUGAGAGCCAUAGCAACUCUCCUCCAAUUCCAGAGGAGGUGCGUGAUUUUUCUCGAAAAUGUUUGGAUAUUUCAUUUUUUUUGGUUUGACUGAAUCUGUUUGUGUGUUUUCCGCAAGUUUGAUGGAUAAAGAAAAGGAAAUGGCCCGUGAAGUCAUCUUUGGUAAUUUGAACAUUUCAGGUUGUUCUUGUUUUUUUCUUUAUGACUGAAUGAGAAACUCAAUUCGAAAGAGAAAAAUAAAGGGAAAA